RNAcentral lists this ribosomal RNA (487 nucleotides) under uncultured bacterium. Its description in RNAcentral is "bacterial SSU rRNA". It matches the Rfam family "Bacterial small subunit ribosomal RNA", at positions 28 to 507 of the family's 1533-position model. The record is from RNAcentral.
GAUGAACGCUAGCGGCAGGCCUAACACAUGCAAGUCGAGGGGUAACAUAGGAAAGCUUGCUUUUCUGAUGACGACCGGCGCACGGGUGCGUAACGCGUAUACAACCUACCUUUUAGCGGGGAAUAGCCCAGGGAAACUUGGAUUAAUGCCCCAUAGUAUAUGGACUUCUCCUGAAGUUUAUAUUAAACAUUUAUGGCUAUUAGAUGGGUAUGCGUCCUAUUAGUUAGUUGGUAAGGUAACGGCUUACCAAGGCAGCGAUAGGUAGGGGUCCUGAGAGGGAGAUCCCCACACUGGUACUGAGACACGGACCAGGCUCCUACGGGAGGCAGCAGUGAGGAAUAUUGGACAAUGGGCGAGAGCCUGAUCCAGCCAUGCCGCGUGCAGGAAGACUGCCCUAUGGGUUGUAAACUGCUUUUACAGAGGAAGAACCACCCCCACGUGUGGGGGUUUGACGGUACUCUGCGAAUAAGGAUCGGCUAACUCCGUG